RNAcentral lists this long non-coding RNA (452 nucleotides) under Malus domestica (apple). RNAcentral describes it as "long non-coding RNA (MDOM_LNC016747)". Lineage: Eukaryota; Viridiplantae; Streptophyta; Magnoliopsida; Rosales; Rosaceae. The record is from RNAcentral.
GUUGGAAAACAUGUUGUUGCUUGGUUGAUCAUAGCCUUGAUAACCCCAAGCAUCUUCGUUCACAAUGAAUUGAGGAUGUUGAUGAGUUUGAUAUCCGUGCCCAUAAGGCACACCACAUGUAGGGACAUUUUGCAUUGUAGUCCUUCCGGCAAUCUGUGACAAUUGAGAAGCCAAUUGAGCUUGAAUGUUAGCAAAAUCCAUGUCUUACUUCUCAAGACACUGAAAUCAAAGAAAACUAAAUCAAAUAUCAAAAGUAACACAAAACAAGGAAAACAAAACUAAGUCAGAAACUAAAACAAAAACAAACUAAACAAAAAGAAAAGAACCAAGGGAUUAGCAAAGUUGCUAAUCCCCGGCAACGGCGCCAAAAUUUGAUGUGAGAAUUACUUGACACACAAAUUAAACCCUCUUUUUGACAGUUGUAGUAUAGAUGUAAGUAGGGUAUCGUUCUA